AAGAGAAGACGACGAAGAAGAAGAAGACAUAUUAGCUGAAUCAACGCAAUUUCUCGGCAGCUGUAAAUGUGUCAUUUGCAUUUGGA
Molecule: non-coding RNA, 86 nt
Organism: Caenorhabditis elegans
Lineage: Eukaryota; Metazoa; Nematoda; Chromadorea; Rhabditida; Rhabditidae
Source: Ensembl